GCGGAGGAAAAGAAAAUAACAAUGAUUUCCCUAGUAACGGCGAGUGAAGAGGAAAGAGCUCAAAGUUGGAACCUGUUUGGCUUAGCUAAACCGGAUUGUAAACUGUAGAAGUGUUUUCCAGGCACGCCAGGUAAAAAAGUCCUUUGGAACAGGGCAUCAUAGAGGGUGAGAAUCCCGUCUUUGGCCUGAGCAGUUGUCUUUUGUGAUACAUUUUCAAAGAGUCAGGUUGUUUGGGAAUGCAGCCUAAAUUGGGUGGUAAAUCUCACCUAAAGCUAAAUAUUUGCGAGAGACCGAUAGCGAACAAGUACCGUGAGGGAAAGAUGAAAAGAACUUUGAAAAGAGAGUUAAACAGUAUGUGAAAUUGUUAAAAGGGAACCGUUUGGAGCCAGACUGGCUUGACUGUAAUCAAUCUAGGCUUUCGGCCUGGAUGCACUUGCGGUCUAUGCCUGCCAACGACAAUUUUCUCUCUGGGAAAAAACUUUUAGGAAUGUGGCCCCCUUUCGGGGGGGGUGUUUAUAGCCUUUUAGAAAAUAUCAGGGAUUGGAUUGAGGAACGCAGUGAAUGCCCCCUUGGGCAAGAUUGCUGGGCGCUUUCGCUAAUAAAUGCUAGAAUUUCUGCUUUGGGGUGGUGCUAGUGUUUAGAGGAGGAACUCGCCUGGUAUAUUUUUUAUUCGCUUAGGUUGUUGGCUUAAUGACUCUAAAUGAC
This 705-nucleotide ribosomal RNA is filed under the name Mucor heterogamus. RNAcentral's name for it is "eukaryotic LSU rRNA". It matches the Rfam family "Eukaryotic large subunit ribosomal RNA", at positions 50 to 648 of the family's 3401-position model. Lineage: Eukaryota; Fungi; Mucoromycota; Mucoromycetes; Mucorales; Mucoraceae. The record is from RNAcentral.